AACGAACGCUGGCGGCAGGCUUAACACAUGCAAGUCGAACGCACCCUUCGGGGUGAGUGGCAGACGGGUGAGUAACGCGUGGGAACAUGCCCUUCAGUUCGGAAUAACCCAGGGAAACUUGGGCUAAUACCGGAUACGCCCUUAGGGGGAAAGAUUUAUCGCUGAAGGAGUGGCCCGCGUCUGAUUAGCUAGUUGGUGAGGUAAUGGCUCACCAAGGCGACGAUCAGUAGCUGGUCGAGAGGAUGAUCAGCCACACUGGGACUGAGACACGGCCCAGACUCCUACGGGAGGCAGCAGUGGGGAAUAUUGGACAAUGGGCGCAAGCCUGAUCCAGCCAUGCCGCGUGAGUGAUGAAGGCCUUAGGGUUGUAAA
Molecule: ribosomal RNA, 372 nt
Filed under: uncultured bacterium
Lineage: Bacteria
Description: bacterial SSU rRNA
Rfam family: Bacterial small subunit ribosomal RNA
Source: RNAcentral